GGGUCGUUAGCUCAGUUAAGAGGUUGACUUUUAAUCAAUUGGUCGCAGGUUCGAAUCCUGCACGACCCA
Molecule: transfer RNA, 69 nt
Filed under: Escherichia coli
Lineage: Bacteria; Pseudomonadati; Pseudomonadota; Gammaproteobacteria; Enterobacterales; Enterobacteriaceae
Description: tRNA-Lys
Rfam family: tRNA
About the family: Transfer RNA (tRNA) molecules are approximately 80 nucleotides in length. Their secondary structure includes four short double-helical elements and three loops (D, anti-codon, and T loops).
Source: RNAcentral